This 51-nucleotide ribosomal RNA is filed under the name Myroides marinus. The record is from RNAcentral. Lineage: Bacteria; Pseudomonadati; Bacteroidota; Flavobacteriia; Flavobacteriales; Flavobacteriaceae.
GCUAGCGCAGAUGGUACUGCUAACCAGUGGGAGAGUAUGUCGCCGCCUUUC